GGGCCCGCACAAGCGGUGGAUCAUGUGGUUUAAUUCGAAGCAACGCGAAGAACCUUACCUGGGUUUGACAUCCUCUGACAUCCGUAGAGAUACGGCUUUCGUAGCAAUACGACAGAGAGACAGGUGCUGCAUGGCUGUCGUCAGCUCGUGUGGUGACAUGUUGGGUUAAGUCCCGCAACGAGCGCAACCCCUGUCCUUAGUUGCCAGCAUUCAGUUGGGCUCUCUAAGGAGACUGCCGUGGUGAACACGGAGGAAGGUGGGGAUGACGUCAAGUCCUCAUGGCCUUUAUAUCCAGGGCGACACACGUGAUACAAUGGACGGUACAGAGGGAAGCGAAACCGCGAGGUGGAGCCAAUCUCAAAAAGCCGUUCUCAGUUCGGAUUGGAGUCUGCAACUCGACUCCAUGAAGUUGGAAUCGCUAGUAAUCGCGGAUCAGCACGCCGCGGUGAAUACGUUCCCGGGCCUU
RNAcentral lists this ribosomal RNA (466 nucleotides) under uncultured bacterium. RNAcentral's name for it is "bacterial SSU rRNA". It matches the Rfam family "Bacterial small subunit ribosomal RNA", at positions 917 to 1382 of the family's 1533-position model. The record is from RNAcentral.